Molecule: ribosomal RNA, 440 nt
Filed under: uncultured bacterium
Lineage: Bacteria
Description: partial 16S ribosomal RNA
Rfam family: Bacterial small subunit ribosomal RNA
Source: RNAcentral
CCUACGGGAGGCAGCAGUGGGGAAUAUUGGACAAUGGGGGGAACCCUGAUCCAGCGACGCCGCGUGCGUGAAGAAGUAUUUCGGUAUGUAAAGCUCUAUCAGCAGGGAAGAAAAUGACGGUACCUGACUAAGAAGCCCCGGCUAACUACGUGCCAGCAGCCGCGGUAAUCCGUAGGGGGCAAGCGUUAUCCGGAUUUACUGGGUGUAAAGGGAGCGUAGACGGGGCAGCAAGUCUGAUGUGAAAGGUCGGGGCCCAACCCCGGGACUGCAGUGGAAACUGGUGAACUGGAGUACAGGAGAGGUAAGCGGAAUUCAUAGUGUAGCGGUGAAAUGCGUAGAUAUUAGGAGGAACACCAGUGGCGAAGGCGGGUGACUGGACUGUAACUGACGUUGAGGCUCGAAAGCGUGGGUAGCAAACAGGAUUAGAUACCCGAGUAGUC